AAAUUAACCUAUAGCAAAUCUAGCCAGUACAACAGAAUUGGGUUAUAGCGACACGUGUUUGGAACACUUUUGUGUAAGUGUCUCAUUUAUGUCAAAAUUUUUAAAAAUCUACUAAUGCCUAAAUAUAAAGCCUAAUCCAACCAAAAAUAAAAGGUUACUCUACUCAACCCACCCCACCCAGCCCAUUCGGUCCGAUUACAAACAGAAAAGAAAAAAAAAAGAAAAAUUGAUUACCAUCUCCUCUUCUCCCUUCACUCAAUCCACUGAAAUUCUAGACGAAGAGCCCUUCACUCUCCUCAUCCUCCGCCACCGCAGCUAAUAAGGUAGAGUUCCGGCGGUUGCUAAAUACUUAAAUAAGUAAAUUAGCAGCACUCUUUUUAGGUUAUACCGACACUCUUUAACUGUCAUUAUAUACCUAAUGACCCCGCAUAUAGCAACACUUUUUAAAAGUGUCGGUAAUUUAGCCAACAACACUUUUUUUGACCUGUACCGACAUUUAAAAGUGUCGCUGUAGACCGUUUUUAUUGUAGUGAGCUAGCUAUUUUCAUAAUAUGUAAUUAAUAAAUUUUGAAUCGAAAUGAUUUGAACAUUAAAAAUAUAUGACCAGUUUGCUUG
Molecule: long non-coding RNA, 615 nt
Filed under: Ananas comosus (pineapple)
Lineage: Eukaryota; Viridiplantae; Streptophyta; Magnoliopsida; Poales; Bromeliaceae
Description: long non-coding RNA (ACOM_LNC003434)
Source: RNAcentral